UCUCUCUCUCUCUCUCUCUCUCCCCUCGUCGUUGUGCGCGUCGCCUGCGUGCCGCAGCCGCGCCGCUGCUCUUCAGCCGCGCCGCUGCUCUUCGGCUGCGCCGCCGCUCGCGUGCCUCGCCGCCGUGCGUGCAGCCGCGCCGCCGUGUGCUGCUCGCCGACGCGCCUACGCGUCACUGCUGCGUGCGCCGGGCCACCACCGUCGUGCCAUCGUGCACGCCGGCCGCCGUGCGUCGCUGCCAGCCGCUGUGAGAAGAAGCAAGCAAGCACAGAGAAAGAGCAGCAAGCAUGCAGGAGAAAGCCAGGAAGAAAGAAAAGAAAGAGAAAAGAAAAGGAGAAGAGAAAAGAAAAGAAAAGAAAAGAGAAGAGGAAGGGAAAAAAAAGGAAGAAAAAGGGAAAAGUUGGAAUUUUCGCAAUUUUGUCGGAUUCGUCGUCAAUCCUCCAAAGAUAUGUUUAGAAUGUUGACGUGCGUUUUGGGGAUAGAUCUUGGUAGUUGCACGCACUACCUCAUCACGAUGUCGAUAACUCAACCGGUGUUUAGAAGUUAUGUUUUUGGUGGUCUGUCGUUUGUUUUGUAUAUCUUGUGGUAAGACGCUGGUAGCGUCGUGAAAAUUUUUAUAUGUUGUUUAUAUUAUAUAUUGUCUA
Long non-coding RNA from Phragmites australis (common reed), 644 nucleotides. RefSeq lists it as uncharacterized. The transcript is spliced from 2 exons. The record is from RefSeq and is a predicted model, not a curated record. NCBI's taxonomy places the organism in Eukaryota, Viridiplantae, Streptophyta, Magnoliopsida, Poales, Poaceae.